This 585-nucleotide ribosomal RNA is filed under the name uncultured bacterium. RNAcentral describes it as "partial 16S ribosomal RNA". It matches the Rfam family "Bacterial small subunit ribosomal RNA", at positions 355 to 1375 of the family's 1533-position model. The record is from RNAcentral.
UGGGGAAUUUUGGACAAUGGGCGAAAGCCUGAUCCAGCAAUGCCGCGUGUGUGAAGAAGGCCUUCGGGUUGUAAAGCACUUUUGUCCGGAAAGAAAUCCUUGGCUCUAAUACAGUCGGGGGAUGACGGUACCGGAAGAAUAAGCACCGGCUAACUACGUGCCAGCAGCCGCGGUAAUACGUAGGGUGCAAGCGUUAAUCGGAAUUACUGGGCGUAAAGCGCGCGCAGGCGGUUUGCUAAGACCGAUGUGAAAUCCCCGGGCUCAACCUGGGAACUGCAUUGGUGACUGGCAGGCUAGAGUAUGGCAGAGGGGGGUAGAAUUCCACGUGUAGCAGUGAAAUGCGUAGAGAUGUGGAGGAAUACCGAUGGCGAAGGCAGCCCCCUGGGCCAAUACUGACGCUCAUGCACGAAAGCGUGGGGAGCAAACAGGAUUAGAUACCCUGGUAGUCCACGCCCUAAACGAUGUCAACUAGUUGUUGGGGAUUCAUUUCCUUAGUAACGUAGCUAACGCGUGAAGUUGACCGCCUGGGGAGUACGGUCGCAAGAUUAAAACUUAAAGGAAUUGACGGGGUCAUAGCUGUUUCCU